Cavia porcellus (domestic guinea pig) is the source of this 687-nucleotide long non-coding RNA. The record is from Ensembl. NCBI's taxonomy places the organism in Eukaryota, Metazoa, Chordata, Mammalia, Rodentia, Caviidae.
GGCGCGGGCCAGUGUCCGGUGACUAUAGCCACGGCCGGCGGCGGCGGCGCGUCUACGAGUAGGCAAUUGCGUUCCGGUUGAUCUCCGCAUCCGCUGCCAUCAGGGUCUUCAGGCUGCGCCUGUUCCUUCUUCAACCCGGGCGGGAACCUUGGCCGGUUGGACCCAAAAUGACAGGGCUGAUGGUUCCGCAGUUGUUCUGGAAGAUGAUCUGCAUUGGUGAAAUGAUCUGCCUAGCGUGUUUCGUACAAAGAGGGCCAUCUGAGACUUUCUGUCCCCACCUGCACGUGGCUCGGUGAUAGCAUCUGCCUGGUGUCUUCUGCAGCAGCAAUGCUGUGAACCCAGUGCUAGGAGAGACGGAGACCUGGGAUGAUCCUCCUGUGGCUGUGAGGCUGAAGGUGACAGUGUGGGUGCUGAGACCAGUCACCAAGCAAGGAGGGAGCAGGACCUGGGCCUGAACACAGCGGACUGGAAUCACACUUGCUCCAGCUGCAGGAGGAAUCGCAGUUUCGGGGCUGGUGUGAGAGUCCGGGGCCUGCGGUCCCUGUUCGUGAGCCCACAGUCCGGAGGUGCCCUUCUGCAUCUCCUGAAUGAAAGGCUGUUUAAUAAUAAAUAUGACUUGAAAUGUGUGGUUUAUCUCUGUUCUCCAUGCUCCAGGCUUAUCCAUGGGCCCUGGGACCUGGGUGGUCA